GUCAAGAUUUUUAUUAACGCAAAAGAGAUGUUUAGUUGUAGUUGGAUUAAGCUUAAUUAACUGGUCACAUGCUCCAGCUCAGGGAUUCUGUCAACACUUAACAUUUAGCUAUCUAUUUAUUGUUAUCCUCAUUUCAAUUUUUCUUGGGUAGAUAUUUUCUUGGUUGUUUGGUUCAUUCAAAUGAAGAUAACUUAGUAUGACAUAUUUGAAGUCAGAUGACUCCAGUUUAGACUUUAGAUUAGAAUUCAAUUGGCUUGAUAUGCAGGCAUAAGAUCCAAACUAAACCAGGGUGACAUUUAAUUAACGGACUAAGCUCAGAGUUUAUAUCAGAAGGAUAAGUUCAGUUGUCGGAGCAGGGGAGCACGGCUGCCUGAAUUCUCAAUACGGUGCUCAUUCAGCGAUGCAGUGACUUGUGCUUCUUAUGCAACUGCUGCAGAUCACGCAAUAGAAUCAUGGAAUCGGUUGGCUAUCAAAUGACUACUGUGGCCCAUCUGAAGCAGUCCUAUAAAACGAUGCUCAGGACCUCUUGCAAAAGAAUAAACAAUCUGGAUCAGAUGAUAUGGAACUGCUAGUGGCAGAAUCAAGUAAUCAUCCUUUUAGAUUUGUUUUGAUGUUGGAUGUUCUUUGCAUAUUUAGGUUUCCAAUUUAACUCCUUUGAAUCUGUUACGCCAGCUCAUGUAAUCGUGAUGGUGUUUUUGGGAAUGUAUGAUGGUUUAUGCCA
Long non-coding RNA from Papaver somniferum (opium poppy), 721 nucleotides. RefSeq lists it as uncharacterized. The transcript is spliced from 2 exons. The record is from RefSeq and is a predicted model, not a curated record. NCBI's taxonomy places the organism in Eukaryota, Viridiplantae, Streptophyta, Magnoliopsida, Ranunculales, Papaveraceae.